Molecule: long non-coding RNA, 487 nt
Organism: Arachis duranensis
Lineage: Eukaryota; Viridiplantae; Streptophyta; Magnoliopsida; Fabales; Fabaceae
Exons: 4
Source: RefSeq, a predicted model, not a curated record
GUGAAUCUCAGAUAUUGUUAUGAGGAUUUACUCUCUCAAUCUAAUCACUCUCUUGCGGGUAAAGCAAAGCAGUCACCAACACCAAGCACCAUGGCGUGUGGGUUAGAACGUUUUCUUGAAGGCAAGGGCUCUUGAGCAAAAAAGGACAAGGGAAAAAGUUGAAUGAAGGCUGAAUUUUGUGUUUGUAGGUUGAAAGUAGCUCUGGAACUGUUAAUGAUGUGGCAAACUCAAUUAUGUAAAAAUUUUGGGACUCAACUUUAGUGCUAGAACCAUCAGAUAAUUAUGGCACUCAGAGGUACUUAGCUAUUUCACUUCAGUAUACAAUUUGUUUUUAGUUUGACGGCACAAGCAAGAGAAAAUCAAUAGCAAGAAGGCUCAAAGCUAAACAGAUCCCAUAAAGAAAAGAUAUGUGACAGGUUUUGUAGUAUUUUAUCUAAGUGUGAUAUUUUGAAUAGAUCCCUCGGGUAUUUUGGGCAUAAGGAAUUUU